UGUAUAUGGCAAAAAGUAAAAAUUUCAAAAUUUGCAGUGGUUCAAAUGGACGGCAGUUAAAAUGUGUUCAGGUCCAAUUAAACAAGUGCCAUAAUGUAUAAUAGCCAACGCGAACACAUGCGUAAAUGCAUCACGGUCUCGUCCUACACUAAAACGAGCAAUAACCGAUAGCAGCCGAUGCAUUUUUAGUGAAUGCCCCGCGAUGGAUCUUCUCCAUAUCCCGUAUCUUUCAAAGGCCAUGCUUUUAUCAAAACAUAAUUUUUAUGUGCCACGAGAUGCAAGGGUGUGCCGUCAACAUUUAGAAUCUGAAAACUGGGACCAUGUAUUAAAUUAUAGUGCAUCAGUUACUGAUUUUAAUGAAAUCCACACAGCAGACAUCAUACAAAUUUAUAAAAGUACUCUACAGUUGAUAAAUGUUACCGUGUCGUCUGCCCUAAUAGAAUAAGGUCAUUUUAGGCUGUAGACUAGAAUUAAAUAAUAAAGGUUAAAAUUUAAUGUUUAGUCAUUUAUUUAUUUUUAACUAUGUAACUCCAGUGAAGCUCAAUCAUAUCUAAACGAUAUAUACAAGACAGUCCUUUCACUGAAGUGGUUGUGAGUGUUCUUUGGUGAUUUUAAUCGCUUAUCAUCUGGCGAUUUGUCUGCUCGUUUCCCUCUUAUAUCUUAAAACAAUUUUGCUUGUAUAUUUAAACAUUACUUGUACAGUAGACGUAAAAUCCCACCAGGUAUGUACCUGUUAGCUAUGAGCUAUCGGCUAUAAACACGAACAAAAGAUAAGCACUCCCGUGAAAAUAAAAGAGACACGGCGAUAUUUAUAGUUACUCGCCCAGCUAUGAAUUCAGGUAUUCAGAAUUACUACGACGACUUCACUAUGACUAAAUUACGUUACGUACCUACCUCUUUACAUAGCAUUCAACCUAUCUCUGUCAAUUUAUAUUGGCCACUUUAGAUUAAAAAGUAACUUGCAUUAUGACUGAUAAAUACUAAAACAAUGUUUAAUGUCACUUUAUAAUGUUUCUCGGAGUUAUUCAGUUACAAUGCAAGAAGAAAGCGAAAAACUGAUAUUCAGUAAAACUCAAAAAGGCAGGGAUUCACUGUUACUUGGUGUACAUAGAUAUACUUUGGGCGUGCAUAAUCCAAGUGGGUCCACUCUAUGGAAGUGCAUAAACCGUCUGUCGUGUGGUUCAUCGAUUACCUUAAACGCCAGUCGAACAAAGAUUGUGCGAAAAAGUGCACAUACUUGUGAGCCAUCCUCGUCGAAAAAUAAAAAUCACCUAGCUUAUCAAAAAUGCAGAAAAAUGGUUUGCGAGUCCUAUGAAUCCGUUCAAAAAAUAUUUGAAGAUGUUUAUAGUCGGGAUAUGGACACAGAUGAAGAUUCGGAUGAUUGUACGAUUCCAUUAUUUGAAAAUAAAAAAAGGUCAUUGUAUAGAGCACGAAAGGAGUUUUUGCAGGUCAAAUCGACGUCUUUCAAAACACUACAAGACGUCGAAGUACCAAUAAUAUUAAGACAAAAUUUUUUAAUUUGGGAGGAUGGAAAUGACGAUAAAAUUUUAUUAUUCGGCACCAAAUACUCGAGAAAAGUAUUAAAAAAUAAAAGUGAUGACACAAUAUUCUUUGGAGAUGGCACGUUCAAAAUAACUCCUCAACCGUUUGAGCAGCUAUUUACUAUACAUAUGGAUGUAAAUAGCACAGAAGAGCAAACUAAUAUCAUACCAAUGCUAUAUGCAUUGCUUCCUGAUAAAACCACAAACACCUACUUACGA
Molecule: long non-coding RNA, 1760 nt
Organism: Cydia splendana
Lineage: Eukaryota; Metazoa; Arthropoda; Insecta; Lepidoptera; Tortricidae
Exons: 2
Source: RefSeq, a predicted model, not a curated record